GACGAAGGAUGCAAGCGUUAUCCGGAUUCAUUGGGUUUAAAGGGAGCGUAGGCGGCCUUGUAAGUCAGUGGUGAAAUCUUUCCGCUUAACGGAAAAACUGCCAUUGAUACUGCUUGGCUUGAGUACAGAUGCUGUGGGCGGAAUAUGACAUGUAGUGGUGAAAUUCGUAGAUAUUCGCAAGAACACCAGUGGCGAAGGCGGCUCACUGGCCCGGUACUGACGCUGAGGUGCGAAAGCGUGGGGAGCAAACAGG
RNAcentral lists this ribosomal RNA (253 nucleotides) under uncultured bacterium. RNAcentral's name for it is "partial 16S ribosomal RNA". It matches the Rfam family "Bacterial small subunit ribosomal RNA", at positions 524 to 776 of the family's 1533-position model. The record is from RNAcentral.